Molecule: unclassified non-coding RNA, 795 nt
Filed under: Hevea brasiliensis (rubber tree)
Lineage: Eukaryota; Viridiplantae; Streptophyta; Magnoliopsida; Malpighiales; Euphorbiaceae
Source: RNAcentral
AAUGAAGGCCAAAUUUUCUGGGUCCGCAGAUAGACUGGAUUCAGUGUCUAGUGCUCGUAGACGUGCAGAGAAGCUUAGAACAUACCAUGCUCGUUCUGGCAUCAAGAGGGAGCAGCAUCUGGUGGAUUCCCUUCAGAGUGAGGAGGAUGAAGAUCCUUCUGACAUUCUGGAAAAGAAAUAUUAUAAACAAGAUAGAUCAUCAGGUGAGGUGGCUUUAGUUGAUGGCGCUUCUAGAAGUUCCCUAAACAAGAAGCUGGUGCUAAACAGAAAUUUGUCUUCAUCCACCCCUCGUACAACAGCAGCACCAGCUCCACGGUCAUCAGUGAAAAUUUCCAACCAAAGUUCUGGGAGGCGGAGAAUUCAAUCAGAAAAUCCUCUAGCACUCUCAGUUCCAAAUUUUUCUGAUUUUAGAAAAGAGAACACAAAGCCGUCUUCUGGAUUCUGCAAAACAGCAAAUCGCACACAGGUGAGAAGCUAUCCCCACAGCAAGAGUACAACUGAAGAGACACCUCUUGCGAAGGAAGAAAAACCUCGACGGUCUCAGUCCUUGAGGAAAAGCUCUGCUAGUCCUGCCGAAGUCAAGGAUUUGCCUACUUUGAAUUCUGAUGAUGUAGUUUUGGCACCAUUGAAGUUUGAUAAAGAGCAAACUGAGCAGGGACCAUAUGAAAAAUUUUCAAAGAAUGUGGAGUCAAAGCCUUUCCUUAAGAAGGGUAAUGGCAUAGGUCCUGGUGCUGAAACUAAUAUUGCCAAACUGAAAGGUUCAGUGGCAAAUGAGGCUUUGGAAAAUGAAGAAGC